CUUCAUACUGCGCGUGUUCACAGAGAAAGAGGCUGCUGCCAGUCCGAUGGAUACGGAGAUCAGUGCAGAUGUGAAAAAGCAAUACAUAUCCGAGAGUGAUGUGGACCCACUUUUCAAACAGCUUUUCAAUCAGAUUGCUGGAAAUGACAGAGAGGUGUCUGUGUUUGAACUAAAGCAGAUC
Molecule: long non-coding RNA, 181 nt
Organism: Sinocyclocheilus rhinocerous
Lineage: Eukaryota; Metazoa; Chordata; Actinopteri; Cypriniformes; Cyprinidae
Exons: 4
Source: RefSeq, a predicted model, not a curated record